Molecule: long non-coding RNA, 393 nt
Organism: Sinocyclocheilus rhinocerous
Lineage: Eukaryota; Metazoa; Chordata; Actinopteri; Cypriniformes; Cyprinidae
Exons: 3
Source: RefSeq, a predicted model, not a curated record
UGCAGUGUGACGUCAUCAGGCCAUCACGGCGGAGUACAGUGAGUUUAUGAACCUGAGGCGACGAUUCAAGACAAACGAACAAGAAGAGGAAGACGAACAGACGUCUGGUCCUGAUGAGGCUGUGGAUGAGAGAGCCUCUGCUUCUGGAUCCUGGCGUCUGUCUCUCUCACCUACUAUCUGGAUUUCUUCUCUGUCCUUCUCAACCACAGUGACAUUCACAAGUGACUAUCUACUAACCUUAACCAUAACUAGUACUGUCAGUCACCGCACGGACUCACACACAACAGCUGUUACUGACGGCUUGAACAUCGCUCUGUGGCCCGUCUGGUCGUUGGUGAUUCUGUUCACUCAGUUCCUGGGUGUGGUGAUGCUGAUCUCACUGCUGGCUUGAAA